UACAGAGGUGGCAAGCGUUGUUCGGAAUUACUGGGCGUAAAGGGCGCGUAGGCGGUCUUCUAAGUCUUGUGUGAAAUCCCUCGGCUCAACUGAGGAACUGCACGGGAUACUGGAAGACUUGAGUUCGGGAGAGGGAAGCGGAAUUCCGAGUGUAGAGGUGAAAUUCGUAGAUAUUCGGAAGAACACCAGUGGCGAAGGCGACUUACUGGACACAUAUUGACGCUGAGGUGCGAAAGCGUGGGGAGCAAACAGG
RNAcentral lists this ribosomal RNA (253 nucleotides) under uncultured bacterium. Its description in RNAcentral is "partial 16S ribosomal RNA". It matches the Rfam family "Bacterial small subunit ribosomal RNA", at positions 524 to 776 of the family's 1533-position model. The record is from RNAcentral.